Molecule: ribosomal RNA, 440 nt
Filed under: uncultured bacterium
Lineage: Bacteria
Description: partial 16S ribosomal RNA
Rfam family: Bacterial small subunit ribosomal RNA
Source: RNAcentral
CCUACGGGCGGCAGCAGUAGGGAAUUUUGCGCAAUGGGCGAAAGCCUGACGCAGCAACGCCGCGUGAUCGAGACGCCCUUCGGGGUGUAAAGAUCUGUCAGUGGGGACGAAACUUGACGGUACCCACUGAGGAAGCACCGGCUAACUCCGUGCCAGCAGCCGCGGUAAUCCGGGGGGUGCAAGCGUUGUCCGGAAUCAUUGGGCGUAAAGAGUUCGUAGGCGGCACGUAAAGUCUGGUGUUAAAGGGAGGGGCUCAACUUCUGUACGGCACUGGAUACUUGCGAGCUAGAAUGCGGUAGAGGUAAAGGGAAUUCCUGGUGUAGCGGUGAAAUGCGUAGAUAUCAGGAGGAACAUCGGUGGCGUAAGCGCGUUACUGGGCCGUAAUUGACGCUGAGGAACGAAAGCCAGGGUAGCAAAUGGGAUUAGAUACCCCAGUAGUC